Long non-coding RNA from Oxyura jamaicensis (ruddy duck), 1232 nucleotides. RefSeq lists it as uncharacterized. Lineage: Eukaryota; Metazoa; Chordata; Aves; Anseriformes; Anatidae. The record is from RefSeq and is a predicted model, not a curated record. The transcript is spliced from 3 exons.
AUUAUUUUUAUGCCAGAACAGUGAUACUCAUCUCAAUCACAAGACUGCAGAGUCUGGGCUUUUGGGGGAAAGAUUCAAAACUUUCAUUCUGAUAAGACAAACCAAAUACACAGUUGAUAAUAAAGAACUGCAGACAAAUUUUGUGUCUACCAGCAACCAGUCUUAAAAUUAUUUUGACUUGAAACAUCUUCUCCCUUAAGGUGGAAAGGCAGAAGGUUAUAUUUUGGCAUCAGGAGCAAUAUUGGAUGACUUAGGACUCACACAUUUGGCACUCUGACUGACUUGCAUCUGAGACAGGCUGAUGAGGAUGCUGCUGUGGGCAAGCAGAGAUGAAGGGUUUACCCAGAUGGGUGAGGAAUUGUGGACCAGUCCUGCAAGGAAACUCCAGCAACCAGACUGAUUCAGCGGAGGUACAACCAGCAUUACCUUCAGGGUCAGUGACUUAUCACAGCCUUGGAGCCAGCUUAGCUCCAGAAAAGGCGCGAAUGGUCAGAGCACCACGGAGUCUGCUCCACGAAUGAUGUUGGAUGAACAAAGGUGUCGUCACACAAAGCAGACUGAGCAGGAGAAGGGCUUCGACCACGGCAGGGCCUCAGAAGCUGCAGCCUCCUCCCUCUGCAGGUGGGUUCGGUGUGGCCUGGCAGGCGCUCCCUGUUGGGCUGGGAGCCAUGAGACACUGCUGGUGCCCUGCAGGCCACGACACACUUCUGUGUGUUGGCUACAGUUCGUCCUGAAACCACGCUUGAAGGGUUUUCAUACAGUAUCAGAUUAUAGAAUUUGAGAAAAAUAAUAAUAAUAAUAAUAACCCCCCUCCAAAUCUCUUAGUAUAAUCUCAAUCUCCCCUGAUACCUUUCUGAAACUGCAGGAAGUAGCAUGUAAACCUCAGGAGGCACAUGUAUAUCCUGGAUGUUUAACUCCCCUGGUGUCUACCCUUUUCUCUUCUGUGUGUAUCUCCUUCUCUUCAGUUUGGGGAAAUCGUUUUAUCUUUGCCAACUCAUUUUCUCUGUUAUUCAUACCAUUCCUGACUCCAGUGCGGGCUGUCAGCACUGCACCAGAGCCACGCUGCCUGUGGAUUUCCUGUAUUCUUCAUCUGCUUUUGAAAGCCCGUCAAAAGCUACCAUAGGUAAAAGAACCGCAGGAAGCCACAAUUUGGGAAGUUUUCAGAGCCGCUUGCAGCUUUUUUUGCCCGCUGCCAUGCCUGACAACUUGAACUGGUGGAAUUAUUCAUUGGA